Molecule: ribosomal RNA, 320 nt
Filed under: uncultured eukaryote
Lineage: Eukaryota
Description: partial 18S ribosomal RNA
Rfam family: Eukaryotic small subunit ribosomal RNA
Source: RNAcentral
CCCCUAGAUGUUCUGGGCCGCACGCGCGCUACACUGAACAGUUCAACAAGUCUUAACCUUGGCCGAUAGGUCUGGGUAAUCUUUGAACGCUGUUCGUGAUUGGGAUAGACCUUUGCAAUUAUGGGUCUUCAACGAGGAAUUCCUAGUAAACGCAAGCCAUCAGCUUGCAUUGAUUACGUCCCUGCCCUUUGUACACACCGCCCGUCGCACCUACCGAUUGAAUGGUCCGGUGAAAUCUCGGGACGGCGGCUUGGUCGCUUGCGUCCGACUGCUGAAACUUGAUUAAACCAUAUCAUUUAGAGGAAGGUGAANUCGUANCA